CAAUAGCGUAUAUUAAAGUUGUUGCAGUUAAAAAGCUCGUAGUUGGAUUUCUGGUGGGAGCGAUCGGUCUGGCGCUUAGCGCGAGUACUUGCAUCGUCUCCGGCCAUCCUUGGGGAGAGUCUGUCUGGCAUUAAGUUGUCGGGCAGAGGAUCCUCAUCGUUUACUGUGAAGAAAUUAGAGUGUUCAAAGCAGGCUUAUGCCGUUGAAUAUAUUAGCAUGGAAUAAUAAGAUAGGACUUUGGUACUAUUUUGUUGGUUUGCGCACCAAAGUAAUGAUUAAUAGGGACAGUUGGGGGUAUUCGUAUUCCGUUGUCAGAGGUGAAAUUCUUGGAUUUACGGAAGACGAACUACUGCGAAAGCAUUUACCAAGGAUGUUUUCAUUAA
RNAcentral lists this ribosomal RNA (383 nucleotides) under uncultured eukaryote. RNAcentral's name for it is "partial 18S ribosomal RNA". It matches the Rfam family "Eukaryotic small subunit ribosomal RNA", at positions 592 to 976 of the family's 1831-position model. The record is from RNAcentral.